Molecule: ribosomal RNA, 604 nt
Filed under: uncultured archaeon
Lineage: Archaea
Description: bacterial SSU rRNA
Rfam family: Archaeal small subunit ribosomal RNA
Source: RNAcentral
CGCAGCGUACGGCUCAGUAACACGUAGUCAACCUGCCCUGGAGACGUGGACAAACCCGGGAAACUGGGGCCUAUCCGCGAUAGAUGACCUCAUCUGGAAGGAGAGGUCGUCCAAAAGGCGGCACGGGUAUGCUCCGUGCCUUUCGCUCCAGGAUGGGACUGCGGCCGAUCAGGCUGUUGGCGGGGUAAUGGCCCACCAAACCUGUAACCGGUACGGGCUUUGAGAGAAGGAGCCCGGAGAUGGACACUGAGACAAGGGUCCAGGCCCUACGGGGCGCAUCAGGCGCGGAACCUUCGCAAUGCGCGAAAGCGUGACGAGGCUAGUCCGAGUGCUUCCUGCUAAAGGGAGCUUUUCUCGGCUGUAAAUAGGUCGGGGAAUAAGGGGAGGGCAAGUCUGGUGUCAGCCGCCGCGGUAAUACCAGCUCCUCGAGUGGUCGGGACGAUUAUUGGGCCUAAAGCACCCGUAGCCGGUUCUGUAAGUCCUCUGUCAAAUCCAACCGCCCAACGGUUGGCCCGCAGAGGAUACUGCGGGACUAGGAGGCGGGAGAGGCGGACGGUACUCCGCGUGUAGGGGUAAAAUCCUUUGAUCCGCGGAAGACCACCAG